This is a long non-coding RNA of Haplochromis burtoni (Burton's mouthbrooder), 311 nucleotides long. RefSeq lists it as uncharacterized. The record is from RefSeq and is a predicted model, not a curated record. The transcript is spliced from 3 exons. Lineage: Eukaryota; Metazoa; Chordata; Actinopteri; Cichliformes; Cichlidae.
CAGAUGGUGGGAUUUGGUUCCAUGCCGACAUUGCACCGACGCAUGGAUGGGAAGUAACCCACGGCCCAAACGAUCACCUUGUACUCGCCUGGGUUCAGAAGACGCCAGUAGUCCCCAUCAGUGGCUACAGAAAAAAAUGAGCUUCUAUCUUGUGACAAAAAUGUUCUUCGGGGCUCCAAAUGGCUUGAUAUCAGAGAUAUGUUUGACGGAUUACAGAAAGAAAAUCAACUGGCUGACCUGAUCGGAUGUCAUGGUCAUGGUCCUCCACCUUGAUUAUAGCAUCUGCUAUUCCUUUUUUGGUGAGCUUGUCC